Molecule: ribosomal RNA, 253 nt
Filed under: uncultured bacterium
Lineage: Bacteria
Description: partial 16S ribosomal RNA
Rfam family: Bacterial small subunit ribosomal RNA
Source: RNAcentral
UACGGGGGGUGCGAGCGUUGUCCGGAAUCACUGGGCGUAAAGGGCGCGUAGGUGGUUUGAUAAGGGUGUGGUGAAAGUCCGGGGCUCAACCCCGGAUCUGCCGUGCCGACUGUCAAACUCGAGGACUGUAGAGGCAGACGGAAUUCCGGGUGUAGCGGUGGAAUGCGUAGAGAUCCGGAGGAAGACCGGUGGCGAAGGCGGUCUGCUGGGCAGUUACUGACACUGAGGCGCGACAGCGUGGGGAGCAAACAGG